This 253-nucleotide ribosomal RNA is filed under the name uncultured bacterium. RNAcentral's name for it is "partial 16S ribosomal RNA". It matches the Rfam family "Bacterial small subunit ribosomal RNA", at positions 524 to 776 of the family's 1533-position model. The record is from RNAcentral.
UACGAGGGGUCCUAGCGUUGUUCGGAAUCAUUGGGCGUAAAGCGUCUGUAGGUGGCUUUGUAAGUCGGGUGUGAAAGCCCCGGGCUCAACCCGGGAAGUGCAUUCGAUACUGCUCAGCUUGAGUGUUGGAGAGGAUAGUAGAAUUCCAGGUGUAGUGGUGAAAUACGUAGAUAUCUGGAGGAAUACCGGUGGCGAAGGCGGCUAUCUGGCCAAACACUGACACUGAGAGACGAAAGCAUGGGGAUCAAACAGG